UUGAUAGCAACUUACUCAUAAUCCGCCAGGGAACUACAAGCAUUGGCUUGAAACCCAAAGGACUUGGCGGUGCUUUAAACCCACCUAGAGGAGCCUGUUCUAGAACUGAUAACCCCCGUUUAACCUCACCCUGCUUUGUCAUUUCCGCCUAUAUACCGCCGUCGUCAGCUUACCUUGUGAAAGAUUAUUAGUGAGCAAGAUUGGUACAACCCAAAACGUCAGGUCGAGGUGUAGUAUAUGGCAGGGGAAGAAAUGGGCUACAUUUAUCUAUCGAUAAACACGAAUUAUUUAUUGAAAAAUAAAGCUGAAGGAGGAUUUAGCAGUAAGAAGAAAAUAGAGAGUUCUUCUGAAAUAGGCUCUGAAGCGCGCACACACCGCCCGUCACUCUCCCUUAUCUAAUAAAAUUAAGUUAAACAUCUGAAAAAUUAAGGGGAGACAAGUCGUAACAUGGUAAGUGUACCGGAAGGUGCACUUGGAAUAC
RNAcentral lists this ribosomal RNA (481 nucleotides) under Syngnathus watermeyeri (river pipefish). RNAcentral's name for it is "partial 12S ribosomal RNA". It matches the Rfam family "Bacterial small subunit ribosomal RNA", at positions 846 to 1526 of the family's 1533-position model. Lineage: Eukaryota; Metazoa; Chordata; Actinopteri; Syngnathiformes; Syngnathidae. The record is from RNAcentral.